CCUGUCCUUAGUUACCAGCACGUUAUGGUGGGCACUCUAAGGAGACUGCCGGUGACAACCGGAGGAAGGUGGGGAUGACGUCAAGUCAUCAUGGCCCUUACGGCCUGGGCUACACACGUGCUACAAUGGUCGGUACAAAGGGUUGCCAAGCCGCGAGGUGGAGCUAAUCCCAUAAAACCGAUCGUAGUCCGGAUCGCAGUCUGCAACUCGACUGCGUGAAGUCGGAAUCGCUAGUAAUCGUGAAUCAGAAUGUCACGGUGAAUACGUUCCCGGGCCUU
RNAcentral lists this ribosomal RNA (278 nucleotides) under uncultured Pseudomonas sp. Its description in RNAcentral is "partial 16S ribosomal RNA". It matches the Rfam family "Bacterial small subunit ribosomal RNA", at positions 1104 to 1382 of the family's 1533-position model. The record is from RNAcentral. Lineage: Bacteria; Pseudomonadati; Pseudomonadota; Gammaproteobacteria; Pseudomonadales; Pseudomonadaceae.